This 76-nucleotide microRNA precursor is filed under the name Myotis lucifugus (little brown bat). RNAcentral's name for it is "mir-9229 microRNA precursor family". It matches the Rfam family "mir-9229 microRNA precursor family". Lineage: Eukaryota; Metazoa; Chordata; Mammalia; Chiroptera; Vespertilionidae. The record is from Rfam by way of RNAcentral.
GAGACACCCUUCUGGGGCAAGACUUGCUUCGGUGGGGCUUUGGUGCUCACUGAGUCUUCCCCCUUAGUGUUUUCCU